CACGGGGUUGCGAGCGUUGUCCGGAAUUACUAGGCGUAAAGGGCAGGCAGGCGGAUCCAUAAGUUUAUCGUUUAAGGCGUCGGCUUAACCGGCGUAGGGCGGUAGAUACUGUGGAUCUGGAAUGCGGUUGGGGAAGACAGAAUUCCUGGUGUAGCGGUGGAAUGCGCAGAGAUCAGGAGGAAUACCGAAGGCGAAGGCAGUCUUCCAAGCCGUUAUUGACGCUCAACUGCGAAGGUGUGGGUAUCAAACAGGAUUAGAUACCCGGUAGUCCCUGAG
RNAcentral lists this ribosomal RNA (276 nucleotides) under uncultured prokaryote. Its description in RNAcentral is "partial 16S ribosomal RNA". It matches the Rfam family "Bacterial small subunit ribosomal RNA", at positions 524 to 801 of the family's 1533-position model. The record is from RNAcentral.